This 460-nucleotide ribosomal RNA is filed under the name uncultured bacterium. RNAcentral describes it as "partial 16S ribosomal RNA". It matches the Rfam family "Bacterial small subunit ribosomal RNA", at positions 338 to 795 of the family's 1533-position model. The record is from RNAcentral.
CCUACGGGUGGCAGCAGUGAGGAAUAUUGGUCAAUGGACACAAGUCUGAACCAGCCAUGCCGCGUGCAGGAAGACGGCUCUAUGAGUUGUAAACUGCUUUUGUACGAGGGUAAACGCAGAUACGCGUAUCUGUCUGCAAGUAUCGUACGAAUAAGGAUCGGCUAACUCCGUGCCAGCAGCCGCGGUAAUACGGAGGAUUCAAGCGUUAUCCGGAUUUAUUGGGUUUAAAGGGUGCGUAGGCGGUCGGAUAAGUUAGCGGUGAAAUCCCGAGGCUCAACUUCGGAAUUGCCUCUGAUACUGUUCGGCUAGAGAGUAGUUGCGGUAGGCGGAAUGUAUGGUGUAGCGGUGAAAUGCUUAGAGAUCAUACAGAACACCGAUUGCGAAGGCAGCUUACCAAGCUACGUCUGACGUUGAGGCACGAAAGCGUGGGGAGCAAACAGGAUUAGAUACCCGAGUAGUC